UUGGAGGGCAAGUCUGGUGCCAGCAGCCGCGGUAAUUCCAGCUCCAAUAGCGUAUAUUAAAGUUGUUGCAGUUAAAAAGCUCGUAGUUGAAUUUCGAGACCGGUUUACUGGUCGUGCUUUUGUACGUACUGGUAUUAUUGGUUUCUCCUUUCUGACGAAUCUUAAUGCCAUUAAUUUGGUGUUUUGGGGAAUCAGGACUGUUACUUUGAAAAAAUUAGAGUGUUUAAAGCAGACUAUCGUCUGAAUACAUUAGCAUGGAAUAAUGAAAUAGGACGGACUGAUUCUAUUUCGUUGGUUUCUAGGAUCACCGUAAUGAUUAAUAGGGAUAGUUGGGGGCAUUAGUAUUCAAUUGUCAGAGGUGAAAUUCUUGGAUUUAUUGAAGACUAACUUCUGCGAAAGCAUUUGCCAAGGAUGUUUUCAUUAAUCAAGAACGAAGGUUAGGGGAUCGAAGACGAUCAGAUACCGUCGUAGUCUUAACCAUAAACUAUGCCGACUAGGAAUCGGGCGACGUUAUUUUCAUGACUCGCUCGGCGCCUUACGGGAAAC
RNAcentral lists this ribosomal RNA (546 nucleotides) under uncultured Glomeraceae. RNAcentral describes it as "SSU rRNA". It matches the Rfam family "Eukaryotic small subunit ribosomal RNA", at positions 548 to 1098 of the family's 1831-position model. Lineage: Eukaryota; Fungi; Glomeromycota; Glomeromycetes; Glomerales; Glomeraceae. The record is from RNAcentral.